This 873-nucleotide ribosomal RNA is filed under the name uncultured bacterium. RNAcentral's name for it is "bacterial SSU rRNA". It matches the Rfam family "Bacterial small subunit ribosomal RNA", at positions 8 to 866 of the family's 1533-position model. The record is from RNAcentral.
AGAGUUUGAUCAUGGCUCAGGAUGAACGCUAGCUACAGGCUUAAUCAUCAUGCAAGUCGAGGGGAAACGAUAGAGAAAGCUUGCUUUUUCCUAGGCGUCGACCGGCGCACGGGUGAGUAAUCGCGUAUCCAACCUGCCCACCACUUGGGGAUAACCUUGCGAAAGUAAGACUAAUACCCAAUGACGUCUCCUAGAAGACAUCUGAAAGGGAUUAAAGAUUUAUCGGUGAUGGAUGGGGAUGCGUCUGAUUAGCUUGUUGGCGGGGUAACGGCCCACCAAGGCAACGAUCAGUAGGGGUUCUGAGAGGAAGGUCCCCCACAUUGGAACUGAGACACGGUCCAAACUCCUACGGGAGGCAGCAGUGAGGAAUAUUGGUCAAUGGGCGAGAGCCUGAACCAGCCAAGUAGCGUGCAGGAUGACGGCCCUAUGGGUUGUAAACUGCUUUUAUAAGGGAAUAAAGUGAGCCUCGUGAGGCUUUUUGCAUGUACCUUAUGAAUAAGGACCGGCCAAUUCCGUGCCAGCAGCCGCGGUAAUACGGAAGGUCCGGGCGUUAUCCGGAUUUAUUGGGUUUAAAGGGAGCGUAGGCCGGAGAUUAAGCGUGUUGUGAAAUGUAGAUGCUCAACAUCUGCACUGCAGCGCGAACUGGUUUCCUUGAGUACGCACAAAGUGGGCGGAAUUCGUGGUGUAGCGGUGAAAUGCUUAGAUAUCACGAAGAACUCCGAUUGCGAAGGCAGCUCACUGGAGCGCAACUGACGCUGAAGCUCGAAAGUGCGGGUAUCGAACAGGAUUAGAUACCCUGGUAGUCCGCACGGUAAACGAUGGAUGCCCGCUGUUGGUCUGAAUAGGUCAGCGGCCAAGCGAAAGCAUUAAGCA